This 450-nucleotide ribosomal RNA is filed under the name uncultured bacterium. RNAcentral's name for it is "bacterial SSU rRNA". It matches the Rfam family "Bacterial small subunit ribosomal RNA", at positions 354 to 796 of the family's 1533-position model. The record is from RNAcentral.
GUGGGGAAUUUUGGACAAUGGGGGCAACCCUGAUCCAGCCAUGCCGCGUGGGUGAAGAAGGCCUUCGGGUUGUAAAGCCCUUUCGGCCGGGAAGAAAUCGCACGGAUGAAUAGUCUGUGUGGAUGACGGUACCGGAAGAAGAAGCACCGGCUAACUACGUGCCAGCAGCCGCGGUAAUACGUAGGGUGCGAGCGUUACUCGGAAUUACUGGGCGUAAAGCGUGCGCAGGCGGAUUUUUAAGCCAGAUGUGAAAUCCCCGGGCUUAACCUGGGAACUGCGUUUGGAACUGGAAGUCUGGAGUGUGUCAGAGGGGGGUGGAAUUCCACGUGUAGCAGUGAAAUGCGUAGAGAUGUGGAGGAACACCGAUGGCGAAGGCAGCCCCCUGGGAUAACACUGACGCUCAUGCACGAAAGCGUGGGGAGCAAACAGGAUUAGAUACCCCGGUAGUCC